This is a long non-coding RNA of Uranotaenia lowii, 343 nucleotides long. RefSeq lists it as uncharacterized. The record is from RefSeq and is a predicted model, not a curated record. Lineage: Eukaryota; Metazoa; Arthropoda; Insecta; Diptera; Culicidae. The transcript is spliced from 2 exons.
CAUUUGCUGUCAAAACGAAAAUUUUCAUCGCAGGUUUGGUGCGCGUGGUAGGUACGCGAUGGUGUUAGAAAAAUGUUUUGCUAAAAAAAUUUCCCAAGAGAUGUAAUUCACUUCAAAAAAUGGAAAAGCAGACGAUAUUGAAGCAGAUCAGUCCACGGAGAAUCGCGCUAGAGGCAGACCCGGAUGUCUGCCGAAAAAUGAAGCCGUGACGCUGGAUUUCGGAAUGUUCAACCUGAGCUGGAAGACAUAGAACUUGCAAAAAAACACUGAAUCUCAAAGAAAUUUUCAUGUAAAUUAUUAAGUGUUUUGUGAUUCGUGAAUAAAUAUAUUGACAUAUAUGAAA